CUGCGAAUGGCUCAUUAAAUCAGUUAUCGUUUAUUUGAUAGUACCUUACUACUUGGAUAACCGUGGUAAUUCUAGAGCUAAUACAUGCUAAAAACCCCAACUUCGGGAGGGGUGUAUUUAUUAGAUAAAAAACCAACGCCCUUUCGGGGCUUCUUGGUGAUUCAUGAUAACUUUACGGAUCGCAUGGCCUUGCGCCGGCGACGGUUCAUUCAAAUUUCUGCCCUAUCAACUUUCGAUGGUAAGGUAUUGGCUUACCAUGGUUUCAACGGGUAACGGGGAAUUAGGGUUCGAUUCCGGAGAGGGAGCCUGAGAAACGGCUACCACAUCCAAGGAAGGCAGCAGGCGCGCAAAUUACCCAAUCCCGAUACGGGGAGGUAGUGACAAUAAAUACUGAUACAGGGCUCUUUUGGGUCUUGUAAUUGGAAUGAGUACAAUUUAAACCUCUUAACGAGGAACAAUUGGAGGGCAAGUCUGGUGCCAGCAGCCGCGGUAAUUCCAGCUCCAAUAGCGUAUAUUAAAGUUGUUGCAGUUAAAAAGCUCGUAGUUGAACCUUGGGUCUGGCUGGCAGGUCCGCCUCACCGCGUGUACUUGUCCGGCCGGGCCUUCCUUCUGGAGAACCUCAUGCCCUUUACUGGGCGUGUUGGGGACCAGGACUUUUACUUUGAAAAAAUUAGAGUGUUCAAAGCAGGCCUUUGCUCGAAUACGUUAGCAUGGAAUAAUAGAAUAGGACGUGCGGUCCUAUUUUGUUGGUUUCUAGGACCGCCGUAAUGAUUAAUAGGGACAGUCGGGGGCAUCAGUAUUCAAUUGUCAGAGGUGAAAUUCUUGGAUUUAUUGAAGACUAACUACUGCGAAAGCAUUUGCCAAGGAUGUUUUCAUUAAUCAGUGAACGAAAGUUAGGGGAUCGAAGACGAUCAGAUACCGUCGUAGUCUUAACCGUAAACUAUGCCGACUAGGGAUCGGGCGAUGUUCUUUUUCUGACUCGCUCGGCACCUUACGAGAAAUCAAAG
RNAcentral lists this ribosomal RNA (1007 nucleotides) under Yunnanensis phragmitis. RNAcentral's name for it is "SSU rRNA". It matches the Rfam family "Eukaryotic small subunit ribosomal RNA", at positions 87 to 1103 of the family's 1831-position model. The record is from RNAcentral. Lineage: Eukaryota; Fungi; Ascomycota; Dothideomycetes; Pleosporales; Phaeosphaeriaceae.